This 61-nucleotide transfer RNA is filed under the name Scapania crassiretis. Its description in RNAcentral is "partial tRNA-Phe". It matches the Rfam family "tRNA", at positions 1 to 59 of the family's 71-position model. Rfam says of the family: Transfer RNA (tRNA) molecules are approximately 80 nucleotides in length. Their secondary structure includes four short double-helical elements and three loops (D, anti-codon, and T loops). The record is from RNAcentral. Lineage: Eukaryota; Viridiplantae; Streptophyta; Jungermanniopsida; Jungermanniales; Scapaniaceae.
GCCGGGAUAGCUCAUUUGGUAGAGCAGAGGACUGAAAAUCCUCCUGUCACCACUUCAAAUA